GACAGAGGUCCCAAGCGUUGUUCGGAUUCACUGGGCGUAAAGGGUGCGUAGGCGGUCGGGCAAGUCUGAUGUGAAAUCUCGGAGCUCAACUCCGAAACUGCAUUGGAUACUGCUUGGCUGGAGGUUGGGAGGGGGGACUGGAAUUCUCGGUGUAGCAGUGAAAUGCGUAGAUAUCGAGAGGAACACCAGUGGCGAAGGCGAGUCCCUGGACCAAUCCUGACGCUGAGGCACGAAAGCCAGGGGAGCAAACGGG
This 253-nucleotide ribosomal RNA is filed under the name uncultured bacterium. Its description in RNAcentral is "partial 16S ribosomal RNA". It matches the Rfam family "Bacterial small subunit ribosomal RNA", at positions 524 to 776 of the family's 1533-position model. The record is from RNAcentral.